AUGUUUACCGGCAGCUUGAUGUCGUGGAACAUCUUCUUGAGCUCGGCGUCCACCUCCAUCCUCGACCUCGGGUCAUCCGGAUUUCAGGGCCUGCAGGUCUUCCAGCACGGAUGGAUACGCGUCCUCCACCUCCGACGCCGGGAGGCCGUCGGGGAAGCUUCCGACGAGCGAGAGCAGCUCGUCUUUGCCCCUGACGUCGUGCGUGCGCUUGUACGAGUAGCGCUCCCCGUCAAAGCGCACCUUGGGGUUGUUCCUCAGGCGCUCGGCGAUGGCGCCAUCGAUGUCGACGCGUGCUGUGUCAUCGGAGAAUCUGAUCUGUGCUCCGGCGGCCAACUUCCUCGCGGUGUUGGUCUCUUUUAG
This 360-nucleotide ribosomal RNA is filed under the name Triticum aestivum (bread wheat). RNAcentral describes it as "partial small subunit ribosomal RNA". The record is from RNAcentral. Lineage: Eukaryota; Viridiplantae; Streptophyta; Magnoliopsida; Poales; Poaceae.